CAGCCUAUCGGUUAUUGUUAGAGCACUGUGUUGAUAACGCAGGGGUCGUAGGUUCGAGUCCUACCGGGGGAU
RNAcentral lists this transfer RNA (72 nucleotides) under Chromobacterium violaceum. RNAcentral describes it as "tRNA-Ile". The record is from RNAcentral. Lineage: Bacteria; Pseudomonadati; Pseudomonadota; Betaproteobacteria; Neisseriales; Chromobacteriaceae.